Molecule: ribosomal RNA, 370 nt
Filed under: uncultured bacterium
Lineage: Bacteria
Description: bacterial SSU rRNA
Rfam family: Bacterial small subunit ribosomal RNA
Source: RNAcentral
AGAGGGUGCAAGCGUUAAUCGGAAUUACUGGGCGUAAAGCGUGCGCAGGCGGUUUUGUAAGCCAGAUGUGAAAGCCCCGGGCUUAACCUGGGAAUGGCAUUUGGGACUGCAAGGCUGGAGUGCGGCAGAGGAGACUGGAAUUCCCGGUGUAGCAGUGAAAUGCGUAGAUAUCGGGAGGAAUACCGAUGGCGAAGGCAGGUCUCUGGGCUGACACUGACGCUCAUGCACGAAAGCGUGGGGAGCAAACAGGAUUAGAUACCCUGGUAGUCCACGCCCUAAACGAUGUCGACUGGUUGUUGGGGGUUUGACACUCUCAGUAACGAAGCUAACGCGUGAAGUCGACCGCCUGGGGAGUACGGCCGCAAGGUUA